UUUGCUAGCACAGAGCUACUGGAGCAAAGCGCAGAAGCAAAUUAAAUUUUAAUAAAUUAAACCCAACAGACAAAAUCAUCUUGAUUUCUUGUCAUUCUGAGGAUUAACGUAUCACCUUCUAAAUUAUGAAACUGUUAAAGAAGUUUACAUGCUGCAUUGGCAUCAUGGUUUGCCCAAAUAUUCCUUCAGUGACCAUGGGUAAUGACCUAAUGACUAAUGACCAAGGGACAUGUCACAUCCUUCCAUCUUGUGUAUUAUAUACUACUGGGGUUUUAAAAAGGCAGCAGUGAACUUCAAAAGAAAGCACAGAAACUGAUGAUUUAUGCACUCAAGAGUGAAAAACUGCAGAGAUGCUAACAAGGACACCAACUCUUGAACAAAACAAGAUAGAGACUAGCCUGCCAAAGACACUGACUGCUGAUUUUGCUACAGUGAAGCACAGAGCAUGUGGAUUAUCUAAGAGCGGCUGCCAUUAUCAGGAAGUAAAAACUCCAGGAGGAACCGGGUUCAGCGGUCUGGCCUAAGGCACAGCUCCCAGAAGGCUGCCAGCCUGCGGACUAGUAACACUUCUAGGCAUUUAUCUAGGAAACAUCUAACAGCUUCCCCCUUUCUCUUCAUUUCACAGACUGCUAGCUCAAAAUAGGCACUAAAAAGCUGUUUGAUUAAUUCGUUUCAUGCUUCUUUUGUGUAAGACAUUGAACAGACUUUCUAAGGGAAGGAAGCAACUGUCCUUUCUUAGAUCUUACCCUCCAUCACAUUCAGACACCACGCUCGUUUUGAAGUAAGUCAUGGUCUCGGCUGGGAUACAGCUCAGUGGCACAGGGCCUGCUCGGCAAGUGCAAGGUCCUGAGUUCAAUUCCCAGUACAGAAAGAAAGAAAGCAACCAACCAACUACCCACAGUUCACUGGUAAUCUUUCUUAUUGGUACUCUGCUCUGUGUGUGAGUGUGUCACUCUGGGAAUAAAUACUUUUAUCUUUGAA
Long non-coding RNA from Cavia porcellus (domestic guinea pig), 981 nucleotides. RefSeq lists it as uncharacterized. The record is from RefSeq and is a predicted model, not a curated record. The transcript is spliced from 2 exons. NCBI's taxonomy places the organism in Eukaryota, Metazoa, Chordata, Mammalia, Rodentia, Caviidae.